CAGUAACGGCGAGUGAAGCGGCAAAAGCUCAAAUUUGAAAUCUAGCACCUUCGGUGUUCGAGUUGUAAUUUGAAGAUGGUAACCUUGGGUUUGGCUCUUGUCUAUGUUCCUUGGAACAGGACGUCAUAGAGGGUGAGAAUCCCGUCUGAUGAGAUGCCCAUUCCUAUGUAAGGUGCUAUCGAAGAGUCGAGUUGUUUGGGAAUGCAGCUCUAAGUGGGUGGUAAAUUCCAUCUAAAGCUAAAUAUUGGCGAGAGACCGAUAGCGAACAAGUACAGUGAUGGAAAGAUGAAAAGAACUUUGAAAAGAGAGUGAAAAAGUACGUGAAAUUGUUGAAAGGGAAGGGCAUUAGAUCAGACUUGGUGUUUUACGAUUAUCUUCUCUUCUUGAGUUGUGCACUCGUAUUUCACUGGGCCAGCAUCGAUUCGGAUGGCAAGAUAAUGGCAGUUGAAUGUGGCUUCACUUCGGUGGAGUGUUAUAGCUUCUGCUGAUAUUGCCUGUCUGGAUCGAGGGCUGCGUCUUUUGACUAGGAUGCUGGCGUAAUGAUCUAAUGCCGCCCGUCUUGACCC
This 566-nucleotide ribosomal RNA is filed under the name Hansenula anomala. Its description in RNAcentral is "Wickerhamomyces anomalus partial large subunit ribosomal RNA". It matches the Rfam family "Eukaryotic large subunit ribosomal RNA", at positions 81 to 660 of the family's 3401-position model. Lineage: Eukaryota; Fungi; Ascomycota; Saccharomycetes; Phaffomycetales; Wickerhamomycetaceae. The record is from RNAcentral.